This 1209-nucleotide long non-coding RNA is filed under the name Numida meleagris (helmeted guineafowl). RNAcentral's name for it is "lncRNA (ENSNMEG00000021533.1)". Lineage: Eukaryota; Metazoa; Chordata; Aves; Galliformes; Numididae. The record is from RNAcentral.
UUCGGACCCAUAUGACAGACAGUUUGAUUCUUUUUGUCUUUCUACAGAGGUAGUGAAAUUAUUAUGCUCUCCAUCUGCUGUUCCUUACAGAAUUUAUGUUUGGUUUCCUCACAUGUAAGGAGAAAGGACAUUCACACAGGAUUUUCACUGUUAGAGUGCUUAAGAAACAUCAACAAGAAAGGGCCCUUGGCUGUCUCUGUUUCUAGGAAUGAAGGCCCAGCUCCGGUCCAGACAAUGGUGGAAUUGUGCCCUUGGUUUCUGGGAAAAUCACUGAAGUGGGAGAAAGAGCUACGUGAAAGAGUAGAAAGAGAAGACCAGAGAAAUUACAGAUAGGAUAGAACUGUUGAAAUGGGGCUUGUUAGUAGCUCAAGGAUUCAAGAGGGACAGGUACACCAACACGGCAAGGCAUAAAUUCCUAAAGGAAGAAGCCAGGGAGUCUGCUCAAGCAAGCUGGAAAUGACUGGGCCUUGGGUCUGAGCCACUCAUGAUGUCCAUGGAGCUGGUGGCAGCCAGCAGCUUGGUAGCCCACAGACUCAGUGCUGGGGGCUGCAGAAGCCAACGCUUCCCCACGUGGAGGUGAGUGAGUGAGGUGUGGCAUGCUUAGCCUGACAGCUAAUGCUAAUGCUUGUGGACUGAUGCUUAGCCCAACAGCUCAUUAAAUCCCACCUAUUUUCUGUGUGCUGCAGACAAUAAUUGCUUUAUACUGUAUGUUAUAAAUAACCUUUAUCCUAACUCUUUCUGUAUUGACUAAAACACCUGGAAAAAUGGAUCAAAACUGGCAAAAAUACCUGCCUCUUUUAUAUUUCUUUUCCAGAAAACAUUACCUAUUUCUCUUAGGCACAGGAGAUCAGUCUAUGGCUGGAAAACUUCUAAGUCCCAGAUUUCCAGACCUUAAGCCCAAUUACACCGCACUUCUGGUUUCUUUUGGCCUUGCAUUUACCAGGCCACAGUUCUCUCUGUGUUAACAAUAACAGAAUCUUUCCAUUUACAAAAUUUUCAGUAAAAUGAAAAACAAAUGUCAAUUAUUCUUGCCUCCCUUUAGCAUCACACAUAUCACAGUGUGACUGGAGACAAAUUCUGCAGAUUGUAUAGGAGGGCACAUGAAGAAACAAUUCACUGAAGAACAGACAGAAGGAUAUGAAAUUCCCCCAGUCCAUAAGGAACAAGACUUUAGUACUCAUCCAAAUAAUAAAAAAAACACACAGUCCA